This is a small nuclear RNA of Mastomys coucha (southern multimammate mouse), 106 nucleotides long. NCBI's taxonomy places the organism in Eukaryota, Metazoa, Chordata, Mammalia, Rodentia, Muridae. The record is from RefSeq and is a predicted model, not a curated record.
GUGUUGUCUUCAGCAGCACUUAUGCUCAAAUUGAAACAAUACAGGGAAGAUGAACAUGACCCCAGCACAAGGAUGACAUGAACUCCAUGAAACAUUUCAUAUUUUA